Molecule: ribosomal RNA, 1462 nt
Filed under: uncultured bacterium
Lineage: Bacteria
Description: bacterial SSU rRNA
Rfam family: Bacterial small subunit ribosomal RNA
Source: RNAcentral
AGUGAACGCUGGCGGCAUGCCUAAUACAUGCAAGUCGAACGCCUGUACUGAUCUGAUCCCUUCGGGGUGAAGUGAAGAUUUUGCAGGAGUGGCGGACGGGUGAGUAUAAAGUUGGAAUCUGCCUCGUACUCGGGGAUAACAUUCUGAAAAGAGUGCUAAUACCGGAUAGUCCCGAAAGGGUAAAGAUUUAUCGGUACGAGAGGAGCCUACUUCCUAUCAGCUUGUUGGUGAGGUAACUGCUCACCAAGGCGACGACGGGUAGCUGGUCUGAGAGGAUGAUCAGCCACACUGGGACUGAGACACGGCCCAGACUCCUACGGGAGGCAGCAGUAAGGAAUUUUCCGCAAUGGGCGAAAGCCUGACGGAGCAAUGCCGCGUGUAUGAUGACGCCUUUUGGGGUGUAAAAUACUUUUGUGAGGGAAGAUAAUGACGGUACCUCACGAAUAANGGACGGCUAAUCACGUGCCAGCAGCCGCGGUAAUACGUGAGUCCCAAAGCGUUGUUCGGAAUUACUGGGCGUAAAGGGCGCGUAAGCGGUUUCNGGAAGUUUAUGGGUGAAAGCCCCCGGGCUUAACUGGGGGAAUGGCCUGUAAAACCACGGGACUGGAAGUGNNGNNANNGGNNGGAGUCUGNANAGGAGUGAUCCAGUGUAGCGGUGAAAUGCGUAGAUAUUGGGAGGAACACCAGUGGCGAAGGCGGCUUCCUGGACAGACACUGACGCUGAGGCGCGAAAGCCAGGGGAGCAAACGGGAUUAGAUACCCCGGUAGUCCUGGCUGUAAACGAUGAAUACUUGGUGUGGGGGGUAUAGAAGUCCCUCUGUGCCGAAGAGAACUCGAUAAGUAUUCCGCCUGGGGAGUACGGCCGCAAGGCUGAAACUCAAAGGAAUUGACGGGGGCCCGCACAAGCGGUGGAGCAUGUGGUUUAAUUCGACGCAACGCGAAGAACCUUACCGGGGUUUGAACUGUAUUGGCGACCUGCUGAGAAGCAGGGUUUCCUUAGGGAACUGAUACAGAGGUGCUGCAUGGCUGUCGUCAGCUCGUGUCGUGAGAUGUUGGGUUAAGUCCCGCAACGAGCGCAACCCUUGUCUGUAGUUGCCAUCAGGUGAAGCUGGGCACUCUACGGAGACUGUCGGCGAAAAGCCGGAGGAAGGUGGGGAUGACGUCAAGUCCUCAUGGCCUUUAUGUCCCGGGCUACACACGUGCUACAAUGGAUGGAACAGAGGGCAGCGAACUCGUGAGAGCAAGCGAAUCCCAGAAAUCCAUUCUCAGUUCGGAUUGCAGUCUGCAACUCGACUGCAUGAAGUUGGAAUCGCUAGUAAUCGCGGAUCAGAACGCCGCGGUGAAUACGUUCCCGGGCCUUGUACACACCGCCCGUCACAUCACGAAAGUGGGCUGUACUAGAAGCCGCCGGCCUAACCCGCAAGGGAGGGAGGCGUCGACGGUAUGGCUCAUGAUUGGGGUG